CCUACGGGGGGCAGCAGUGGGGAAUAUUGCACAAUGGGGGAAACCCUGAUGCAGCGACGCCGCGUGAAGGAAGAAGUAUUUCGGUAUGUAAACUUCUAUCAGCAGGGAAGAAAAUGAUGGUACCUGACUAAUAAGCCCCGGCUAACUACGUGCCAGCAGCCGCGGUAAUACGUCGGGGGCAAGCGUUAUCCGGAUUUACUGGGUGUAAAGGGAGCGUAGGCGGCGAGGCAAGUACGAAGUGAAAGCCCGGGGCUCAACUCCGGGACUGCUUUUGAAACUGGGUGGCUAGAUUGCAGGAGAGGGAAGUGGAAUUCCUGGUGUAGCGGUGAAAUGCGUAGAGAGUAGGAGGAACACCAGUGGCGAAGGCGGCUUACUGGACUGUAAAUGACGCUGAGGCUCGAAAGCGUGGGGAGCAAACAGGAUUAGAUACCCCAGUAGUC
This 440-nucleotide ribosomal RNA is filed under the name uncultured bacterium. RNAcentral describes it as "partial 16S ribosomal RNA". It matches the Rfam family "Bacterial small subunit ribosomal RNA", at positions 338 to 795 of the family's 1533-position model. The record is from RNAcentral.